This 253-nucleotide ribosomal RNA is filed under the name uncultured bacterium. RNAcentral describes it as "partial 16S ribosomal RNA". It matches the Rfam family "Bacterial small subunit ribosomal RNA", at positions 524 to 776 of the family's 1533-position model. The record is from RNAcentral.
UACGUAGGUGGCAAGCGUUGUCCGGAAUUAUUGGGCGUAAAGCGCGCGCAGGCGGUCCUUUAAGUCUGAUGUGAAAGCCGACGGCUCAACCGUGGAGGGUCAUUGGAAACUGGGGGACUUGAGUGCAGAAGAGGAAAGCGGAAUUCCACGUGUAGCGGUGAAAUGCGUAGAGAUGUGGAGGAACACCAGUGGCGAAGGCGGCUUUCUGGUCUGUAACUGACGCUGAGGCGCGAAAGCGUGGGGAGCAAACAGG